This 3632-nucleotide long non-coding RNA is filed under the name Callithrix jacchus (white-tufted-ear marmoset). RNAcentral describes it as "lncRNA (ENSCJAG00000071347.1)". Lineage: Eukaryota; Metazoa; Chordata; Mammalia; Primates; Cebidae. The record is from RNAcentral.
CCUCAUGUAGCUCCCACUCAGUUUCAAGAGACAAAUGUGUGAGUAGAUAUAUUUAAAACAUGUGGCAAUUGUAGGACUAGAGAGAGAAAUUCAGAAAUUAUUAUAGGAGCUAAACCUAGACAGAAGGUUUAGGAAAAAUUCCCUGGAAGAAUACUUGUCUGAAUCGAAUUUUAAAGGAAAGGAAGGGUGAGUUAGAUAAGGACGGUAAGAAUGGAAGACAUGACAUAUUGUAUCUGGUUUCACUGCAAACCACUGGGUGUGGCUAAAUAAUGAAUUGAGAGGCAGCAAGGUGUCAGAAGAUGAGAUCAGUGCUUGCAACAACACUGUAAAAGAUUGGACUUUGAUUGUGGGGAAGCUUUGAAGGGUUUUAAGCUGGGGACUUAAAAGUUCAUAUGUGCAUUUAAAUAGAAAAUCCAGUGGAUGAAAAUAGGCAAUGUAUUCAUGUUUUCUUACUUAUAUAAUGGCAAACAUUUUGGGAAAGGUCAAGAAGUAAAGUGUCAGCCAUGUAAUUGUACCCCUUAUCUUGCCCAGAGGGCUCCCUGUGUGUGUACUCUGUGGGAUGAGUGUGUCCCAGCAGCAGCCCCAGCCACUCUUCCUUUGGGAUUGGCUUUGUGAAUUGGUGACUUCCUUAUUCUUCAUCACAUUUCCUUUUGUGAUGAAAGAAAAAGAACUGACCCUCUAGAGUUCCAAAGAUCAGUGAUCCUAGCCUGUCUUUGACAUUCAUGAACUUUCAUCGGGGGCAAGUCACACAACCUCCUUGAGCCCCAAUGAACUCAUCUGUAAUAUGGGAUAGUAAUGGCCAACCCAAAGGGCUAUGGUAAAGUCAUUGGAAGUCACUUUGAAAGACUUGUGCCUCAUUGAAAAAGACACAUCUCUGCAUGGUUUUCAUCCAUUUGCUUCAUCUCCAAGACAAGCUUUCUUUUUAAGGAGGAGAGAAGCCCAUUUCCCUGCCACCUGUCAGCAUUUAGCUUGCCACUGUGGCUUAUUAUUGCUGCCAUCUGCUGCCAAGAAGAGAUGUGCAUGAUCUGGGUAGGUACUCAUAAAAGUCAUUAGAGGAGAGGAGGCUGAGCUGAGGAUCCAAGUGGAAACAUUUACUAUCUGCACAAUAACAGCCCUUGCUCUCCUGCCUCCUUCCCUGAUAUCCAGUUGGGUCACCAUUCCCUGGCCCCAGCUGCCCACCACCAUUCACACAUAUUCUCCAUACCCUUCUUCAUGUCACCCCAUACUGGGCAUGGACUCUGUGUCAUGUCAUCACUCAAAGUCAUUGCAGAGCAGAUACAGGGACUAUUUAGAAACUAUGAAGUAGUUUGACAACAUCCCAACUUUUAUCUCAUGUAUUGACUAGUGGAGACAAUUUGAUGUUUAAGAAGACCUCAGACCCUCUAAGUUUUCUGCUGUGAGAAAUGAAUGGCUUCAAUAUAAUUCAGUUGAAUUAAUUCAUUUCAGUAAGACUUUCCUGAACACCAUUAAGGGCUACAGAGAUGCCUAAGGUGAGGCUCCUGCCUUAAGGAACUCACAAUGGUUGUGUUGCACAUGUUUGCAAGUGUGUGCGUGUAUGAUGUAAUCAACAAUUACAAGUGACAUAGGGUGUGUCCUAUGGGAGGAAGAAGUUUAGAUGCUCUAGUAGCCCCAAGGAGGAACAUAAAUCCUUUCAUAUAAGUUUGGGGUCAGAGAGUAAAGAGAGGUGGAUGAGGCAUGUGAUCAGAUUUGCAUUUAGGAAGAACAAUCACUCUGGCUGCUGUGUGGAGGGCUAAUUAGAGCAAUCCCAGAGUAGAAGAUUUUUGAAAUAGUCCAGCCAUGAGAUAGGUUAGGAUGCUGGUGGUAACAGAGAAAACUAGAUGGUUCAAGAGAGAGUGGGAGAGUACAGCCAGUAGGCUUGGUGAUACGUUUGACAUCGCAAGUGAGGAAAAGGUGGUGUCAGGAUGACACUAACAGUUCUGGCUUGAAACUUAGGUUUGUCAGUAGUGUUACUGAAUGAGAUAUAACUGCUGGAAGAGAGCAGAAUGAGAAGCUGGUGGGUAGAACAAAAGUUUAGUUUUAGAGCUUUUGUGUAUGAGAUGUUUUAGGAACAACCACGGGGAGAUGCUCGUUAAGCAGUUUUACAUGAAGAUCUAGAACUCAGAAAAGAGAUGUGGGCUGGUUUUAUGAAUAUGUGAGUCAUUUUUUUUGCUGGUAACUGCAGCUGUGGGAUGAAAGAGAGUGUUAAUUGAGAUAAGAAGGAAUGCCUGGGAUGAGGUUUUGAGGGAUUCCAUUAUGUUUGGGCUGAGAAGAAGGAUAAACUUGCAAAGGAAAUGGAAGUAUGGCCAGCGAAGAAGAAACAGAACAACAAGAAGGGUGUUAUGAAAGGUUAUGAAAGUUUAAGAAAAAGUCUUUCGGAAGAGAGGAAAGGACAACUUUCAAGUGCUAUUGAAACAUCCACUAAGAUGAGGCAUGGAAAAUGUCCACCGUGGCUGCAUGGACAUUAUUGGAGAUAUUAAAAGGGGCUAUUUGUGGGACAGGCAUCAGAUCCAGACCAGAGUGGGCUGUGGAGUGCAUGGGGUAUGAAGGCAUGACAAUGGUAAGUGAAGGCAACUCUUCCUUAAGGGUUGACUAUGAAGGGUAAGAGAGAGAUGGGGGAGUAGCUGAAACUGGACUUUGGCAAUGAAGAUUGGCAGAUGUUUAAAAGCUGGGAAAGAUCAAUCAGAGAGAGUUUGUGAAUAUUGUGAGGAAAAGGAUAAAUGGUAUUAAGAGAUUCCAUAGGUGAUAGGUGGCAGUGGGAUCUGAAGAUCAGUUGGAUGGAGAGUUGUUUCAGCUCCUCUUGUGGUGUAAGAGAGAAAGAGAGAAAGGAAGGAUUUCCUCAAAUCUGUGUGUUUGAUUAUGGGGGUUUCCUGUCUAAGAGCAUCUGUUUUCUCUGUGAAGUAGGAGGCAAGAUCCCUUGAUGAGACAGAAGAGUGUGGGUAGAUAGCAGGGGUGGAAGCUUGAGAAGGAUAAAGUUUGAAAAAAUUACUAUGAAGAAUGGCAAGAGAUGAUGCAGUAGGUUUGCUUGGCAGAGUGCCGGCUCACUUGAAGUUGAGGAUCAAGAAUGUGUAGUGGUCCUAAGGUACCAUGGUUGGCUUUUCUGGCUUAGGCAGAGGCUAGAAGGUAGCACCCAGUUGAAUUUUUAUGGGCUUGGGUUUUAUCUGGAUGGUACAAAUAAAAAGCAGCAGAUAUAUUGUUAAAUAUUGUUAAAAUAUAACAUUGUUAAAAUCAUGGAUCAUGGAGUCCAAGGUGAGUUAGUAAAUGAAGAAAGGAGAAGGCUGAUGACUAGAGAGAAACUACAGUUCAAGAAGUGUCAGAGUAAGAGAAGUGAGUGAGCGAGGUGGAGGGGAAGAGAUUGUGGUUGAAAGUGCUUGCAUUAGUGAUUCUAGAAGCAUAGCAUUUUACUGAAGUGUGAGGGGGCGGGGAAGAGAGGACCACUGGAAAUUAGUUGGUCAAGAAACAGAAUUAAGAGGCCAUAUAUGGGGUUAUCCAUUUGGCUGACACCACCCAGGAUGAUGGCAAAGCCGGAGGUAGAAAAAGCACAUAAGUGCAAGCCUUCAGUGAAUGAAGGAGAGUAGCUGGGAGAUGGGCAGAUUAGAGCAACUGCAAGAGGAAGGAGGAUGUGUGCUGUGUAU